UGGCCAUCGUGAGGGGAGUAAG
RNAcentral lists this unclassified non-coding RNA (22 nucleotides) under Mus musculus (house mouse). RNAcentral describes it as "oocyte_clustered_small_RNA2160". The record is from RNAcentral. Lineage: Eukaryota; Metazoa; Chordata; Mammalia; Rodentia; Muridae.